RNAcentral lists this ribosomal RNA (538 nucleotides) under uncultured Clavibacter sp. RNAcentral's name for it is "bacterial SSU rRNA". It matches the Rfam family "Bacterial small subunit ribosomal RNA", at positions 875 to 1383 of the family's 1533-position model. The record is from RNAcentral. Lineage: Bacteria; Bacillati; Actinomycetota; Actinomycetes; Micrococcales; Microbacteriaceae.
CGGAACAUAAGUUCCCGCCUCGGGGAGUACGGCGCAAGGCGUAAAACUCAAACGGAAUUGACGGGGCCGCGACAAGCGGCGGACGCAUGCGGAUAAUUCGAUGCAACGCGAAGAACCUUACCAAGGCUUGACAUAUCCGGAAACAUCGGCAGAGAUGUGUUGCCCCGCAAGGUCGGUAUACAGGUGGUGCACUGGUUGUCGUCAGCUCGUGUCGUGUAGAUGUUGGGUUAAGUCCCGCAACGAGCGGCAACCCUCGUUCCUUAUGUUUGCCAGCACGUAAUGGUGGGAACUCAUAGGAGACUGCGGGGUCAACUCGGAGAAGUGGGGAUGACGUCAAAUCAUCAUGCCCUUAUGUCUUGGGCUUCACGGCAUGCUACAAUGGCCCGGUACUAAAGGGCUGCGAUACCGUAAGGUGGAGCGAAUCCCAAAAAGCCGGUCUCAGUUCGGAUUGAGGUCUGCAACUCGACCUCAUGUAAGUCGGAGUCGCUAGUAAUCGCAGACUCAGCAACGCUGCGGUGAAUACGUUCCCGGGCCGUUG